ACAUGUGGGGGUCAGGGAGAGAGUAAAGUUAUGUUUUAGACUGGUGGUGGUCAGGGAGAGAGUUGAGUUAUGUUCUAGACUGGUGGGGGUCAGGGAGAGAGUUGAGUUAUGUACUAGACUGGUGGGGGUCAGGGAGAGAGUUGAGUUAUGUACUAGACUGGUGGGGGUCAGGGAGAGAGUCGAGUUAUGUUCUAGACUGGUGGGGGUCAGGGAGAGAGUUAUGUACUAGACUGGUGGGGGUCAGGGAGAGAGUUGAGUUAUGUUCUAGACUGGUGGGGGUCAGGGAGAGAGGUGAGUUAUGUACUAGACUGGUUGGGGUCAGGGAGAGAGUUGAGUUAUGUACUAGACUGGUGGGGGUCAGGGAGAGAGUUGAGUUAUGUUCUAGACUGGUGGGGUCAGGGAGAGAGUUGAGUUAUGUUCUAGACUGGUGGGGGUCAGCGAGAGAGGUGAGUUAUGUACUAGACUGGUGGGGGUCAGGGAGAGAGUUAUGUUCUAGACUGGUGGGGGUCAGGGAGAGAGUUGAGUUAUGUCCUAGACUGGUGGGGGUCAGCGAGAGAGGUGAGUUAUGUACUAGACUGGUGGGGGUCAGGGAGAGAGUUAUGUACUAGACUGGUGGGGGUCAGGGAGAGAGUUGAGUUAUGUUCUAGACUGGUGGGGGUCAGCGAGAGAGGUAAGUUAUGUACUAGACUGGUGGGGGUCAGGGAGAGAGUUGAGUUAUGUACUAGAUUGCUGGGGGUCAGGGAGAGAGUUGAGUUAUGUUCUAGACUUGUGGGGGUCAGGGAGAGAGUAGCGUUAUGUUUUAGACUGGUGGUGGUCAGGGAGAGAGUUGAGUUAUGUUCUAGACUGGUGGGGGUCAGGGAGAGAGUUGAGUUAUGUACUAGACUGGUGGGGGUCAGGGAGAGAGUUGAGUUAUGUACUAGACUGGUGGGGGUCAGGGAGAGAGUCGAGUUAUGUUCUAGACUGGUGGGGGUCAGGGAGAGAGUUAUGUACUAGACUGGUGGGGGUCAGGGAGAGAGUUGAGUUAUGUUCUAGACUGGUGGGGGUCAGGGAGAGAGGUGAGUUUUGUACUAGAUGGGUGGGGGUCAGGGAGAGAGAUA
Molecule: long non-coding RNA, 1097 nt
Filed under: Salmo salar (Atlantic salmon)
Lineage: Eukaryota; Metazoa; Chordata; Actinopteri; Salmoniformes; Salmonidae
Description: lncRNA (ENSSSAG00000107664.1)
Source: RNAcentral